Molecule: ribosomal RNA, 505 nt
Filed under: uncultured bacterium
Lineage: Bacteria
Description: partial 16S ribosomal RNA
Rfam family: Bacterial small subunit ribosomal RNA
Source: RNAcentral
GACGAACGCUGGCGGCGUGCCUAAUACAUGCAAGUAGAACGCACAGUUUAUACCGUAGCUUGCUACACCAUAGACUGUGAGCUGCGAACGGGUGAGUAACGCGUAGGUAACCUGCCUGGUAGCGGGGGAUAACUAUUGGAAACGAUAGCUAAUACCGCAUAAUAUUGAUUAUUGCAUGAUAAUUGAUUGAAAGAUGCUAUUGCAUCACUACCAGAUGGACCUGCGUUGUAUUAGCUAGUAGGUGAGGUAACGGCUCACCUAGGCGACGAUACAUAGCCGACCUGAGAGGGUGAUCGGCCACACUGGGACGGAGACACGGCCCAGACUACUACGGGAGGCAGCAGUAGGGAAGCGUCGGCAAUGGACGAAAGUCUGACCGAGCAACGCCGCGUGAGUGAAGAAGGUUUUCGGAUCGUAAAGCUCUGUUGUAAGAGAAGAACGGGUGUGAGAGUGGAAAGUUCACACUGUGACGGUAUCUUACCAGAAAGGGACGGCUAACUACGUG